AUGUGUGUGACUGUGUUGGCGCGUUUCCCAAGUAGCACGGAACUCCAGAAAAUUCUGUGUGAAUCUGGCGGGACCACCCGUUAAGCCUAAAUACUCCUUGAUGACCGAUAGCGGACAAGUACCGUGAGGGAAAGGUGAAAAGUACCCCUGGCGGGGAGUGAAAUAGUACCUGAAACCGUGUGCCUACAAUCCGUCAGAGCCUGUGAGGGUGAUGGCGUGCCUUUUGAAGAAUGAGCCUGCGAGUUUGCGGUGUGUGGCAAGGUUAACCCGUGUGGGGUAGCCGUAGCGAAAAGCGAGUCCUAAUAGGGCGGUUUAGUCGCGCGCUCAAGACCCGAAGCGGAGUGAUCUAUCCAUGGGCAGGUUGAAGCGUCGGUAAGACGACGUGGAGGACCGAACCCACCUAGGUUGAAAACUGGGGGGAUGACCUGUGGAUAGGGGGUGAAAAGGCCAAUCAAACUCCGUGAUAGCUGGUUCUCCCCGAAAAUGCAUUUAGGUGCAGCGUUGCGUGUUUCUUGCCGGAGGUAGAGCACUGGAUAGCCGAU
Molecule: ribosomal RNA, 542 nt
Filed under: uncultured bacterium
Lineage: Bacteria
Description: bacterial LSU rRNA
Rfam family: Bacterial large subunit ribosomal RNA
Source: RNAcentral